RNAcentral lists this ribosomal RNA (877 nucleotides) under uncultured bacterium. Its description in RNAcentral is "bacterial SSU rRNA". It matches the Rfam family "Bacterial small subunit ribosomal RNA", at positions 59 to 928 of the family's 1533-position model. The record is from RNAcentral.
CAGUCGAGCGGAACGAUCCUAGCUUGCUAGGAGGCGUCGAGCGGCGGACGGGUGAGUAAUGCAUAGGAAUCUGCCCGGUAGUGGGGGAUAACCUGGGGAAACCCAGGCUAAUACCGCAUACGCCCUACGGGGGAAAGCAGGGGAUCUUCGGACCUUGCGCUAUCGGAUGAGCCUAUGUCGGAUUAGCUAGUUGGUGAGGUAACGGCUCACCAAGGCUGCGAUCCGUAGCUGGUCUGAGAGGAUGAUCAGCCACAUCGGGACUGAGACACGGCCCGAACUCCUACGGGAGGCAGCAGUGGGGAAUAUUGGACAAUGGGCGAAAGCCUGAUCCAGCCAUGCCGCGUGUGUGAAGAAGGCCUUCGGGUUGUAAAGCACUUUCAGUGAGGAAGAAAGCCUUGAGGUUAAUACCCUCGAGGGAGGACAUCACUCACAGAAGAAGCACCGGCUAACUCCGUGCCAGCAGCCGCGGUAAUACGGAGGGUGCGAGCGUUAAUCGGAAUUACUGGGCGUAAAGCGCGCGUAGGCGGCUUGAUAAGCCGGUUGUGAAAGCCCCGGGCUCAACCUGGGAACGGCAUCCGGAACUGUCAGGCUAGAGUGCAGGAGAGGAAGGUAGAAUUCCCGGUGUAGCGGUGAAAUGCGUAGAGAUCGGGAGGAAUACCAGUGGCGAAGGCGGCCUUCUGGACUGACACUGACGCUGAGGUGCGAAAGCGUGGGUAGCAAACAGGAUUAGAUACCCUGGUAGUCCACGCCGUAAACGAUGUCGACUAGCCGUUGGGCUCCUUGAGAGCUUUGUGGCGCAGUUAACGCGAUAAGUCGACCGCCUGGGGAGUACGGCCGCAAGGUUAAAACUCAAAUGAAUUGACGGGGGCCCGCACAA